UUGAAGUUGGAAUUGGUUUUUGAUUUGUAUUUACAAUAGAAAUGGGGAAAGUGGGAAGUGGCCCAUGUAAAUCACAAAGCGUAGCCCAACAAAAACCAAAACGAUACGUUUGGCAAUUGUCAUGUCCCUUGUUAUUUCGAUACUGAAAUUGAAUCCCGAUUCCGAGAGAGAGAGAGAUAGCGGAAGACGAUGCUUUGACGGUGGCGUAGAGUGCGUUGGAGGCGAUUAGAGAGAAAGGUCUCGGCGGUUUCAUGAGGAUGAUCCGAGAAGAAGGCUUCUUAUUAUCUAUAGAAGAUAAAAGGAUUCAAGCUUUAUACAACAAUAAUCUUAUUUCCUUCUUUGAGCGGCUGUUUAGACUCGAGCCCUUCUUCCACUGGUUCUAGCCUUCUUCUUCAUGAAUACCAAAGGAACCCUCAGCUUAUCAGUCUCGUGACCAACACAAAGAUAAGAAAUUGUUUUCUUUAUAACAUGUACCUUAAAAGAUUCUUAAUCUAUGUAACUAACGUUUGUUUUGCUUCAUAGGUGAAGCUUAAUUUUUUAUUAUGAAAGUGGAAGUAAAUGAUUAGUGAAGAGUCGUGUCAUCUGUCCUCACAAGCAAUAGAGACAAAGGGUUUUGAGGGGAGAGUGAAUCACCUCUGGCAUGGCGUCGUGGACCAUCCACCAUUUUCGGUGAGCGAUAUCGGUAGCA
Arabidopsis lyrata subsp. lyrata is the source of this 688-nucleotide long non-coding RNA. RefSeq lists it as uncharacterized. NCBI's taxonomy places the organism in Eukaryota, Viridiplantae, Streptophyta, Magnoliopsida, Brassicales, Brassicaceae. The transcript has 4 exons. The record is from RefSeq and is a predicted model, not a curated record.